This 428-nucleotide long non-coding RNA is filed under the name Gopherus agassizii (Agassiz's desert tortoise). RNAcentral's name for it is "lncRNA (ENSGAGG00000013660.1)". Lineage: Eukaryota; Metazoa; Chordata; Testudines; Testudinidae. The record is from RNAcentral.
UGAAAUGGUGAUUCUCCCUAUUUAGAAAAUCAUGAUUCUCUCUUAUUAGACAAUGGAAACAUGUUUCUUCGACAUUUCUCCAUCUGUGCUGGUCUCCUGGGCAUCUUCUUCAUUCUGGUUUUCGUUUUCUUUUGUAAGCUCCACUGUGGCAGAAUUUGUUAUUAACCCAAAAUCCCUGAGACUGCUCCCACACACAACGUGCAGGAUAGUAAUGAGCAGCAGGAAUUUGAGCCCUACGCCAGCUAUUUGCAGAAGGAAAAUGUGAUCUACAACACAGUGUAUGAAGUAACAGUGAGUGAAGACCUCCAACUAGGGCUCCAGUCAGCAACAUGAGAAUCCACCUGGGCCCAACUCACCACCUGUGUUAAGAAGGGGAACAGGUUGCAGGGAAGAUUAAUGAUACUUGAUUCCUUCCAGAAGAGGAUCUC